Molecule: long non-coding RNA, 271 nt
Filed under: Nicotiana benthamiana
Lineage: Eukaryota; Viridiplantae; Streptophyta; Magnoliopsida; Solanales; Solanaceae
Description: long non-coding RNA (NBEN_LNC026335)
Source: RNAcentral
CAAUUCAAAUGUACCGAUGUCCCUUUUGCCUUGGGCCUGCAUCUCACAAUGCAGGUACGGAUUUACAGGUUGAUGAUUCAGAGGGCUAGGGUUCUCUACCAGCUGUUUGGUGAUCCCCCAGUUCCUUCGGGGCAUUAUCAUUACUUUACAGCCUUUCAGUAUUUACAGAUAGUCAUUGUUUUCAAUAUUUCAUUAGAGGCUUCAUAGACUAGAGUAACAGUUAGACGUAGUCUCUGACUUUUUAUGUUAAGGUGCAAAUAUGUUUCAAAAU